This 874-nucleotide long non-coding RNA is filed under the name Homo sapiens (human). Its description in RNAcentral is "non-protein coding LINC01697:29". The record is from RNAcentral. Lineage: Eukaryota; Metazoa; Chordata; Mammalia; Primates; Hominidae.
GGGUGGAUAGGGAAGGACCAUCAGGUGGAGGUGGGGCUAGGCGUGUCUGAGCUCAGACUCUUUUUGGGUGGGUCCUGCUGAAGCUGUUGUUGGGGAUGGGGGUGACAUUCCCAGGUCACUGGAGUUAUGUACCAGGAGGAUUAAGGCUGCCUCUGCUGAGUCAUGCAGGUUGUCAGGGAAGUCGGAGAAAGCUGACAGUCACUGGCCUCACCCAGCUCCCACGCAAACUGAAGGGCUGGUCUCACUCUCACUAUGCCCCCGUAACAGAGUCAGUUUUUAGGCGGAGGGUGAGAAUGGCUUGAAAAUUUGCUGAAUGCUAUCCAUCUCCCAGCCCCCAGAGAAAAGGGCUUUAGUUCCUCCCCCUGCCUGUGAAGUCUGCAGGCCAGAUUCGCGCCCUCCCCUGAGUUCUGGCCAGGAGGCUUCUUGCCCUGUUCAAAUGGUUACAAAGUUCAGCUAGAGAAUUCCUUCUCCCUGUAGAGUUUUACCCCCUGCUCCUCUGGCCGCCCUCCGGAUGGAUCUUUGUGUUGCCAGGCAGGAAUGGGCUGCUUGGGGACCCAGUGAGCUCCGAGGGCCUUUCUGCUGCUUCCUGUACCCCUGUAUUUCGCUCAGCUCUCUGACUUGACUCAGCUCCAGACAUCUACCCCUGGAGAAAGAGCCCAAUGAGAAGUAAUCUCUGAAGCCCAGAUUUCCUAAGGAUGAAGCUUCAGGAGAGGCCUUAUCAAUCCUGACAACAAACUUUUCUCGUCAAUUUAGUUUCAUUUAAUGGAAGUUUUAAAUGUGUAAAGUUCAGAAGGCUAUUAAAAUUGGUUCCAGCUAUCUAAGAUACACACACAACCACACACGCGCACACACGGUAGAGAUAAAUAUGUUCGAA